GAUGAACGCUGGCGGCGUGCCUAAUACAUGCAAGUCGAGCGAACAGACGAGGAGCUUACUCCUCUGACGUUAGCGGCGGACGGGUGAGUAGCACGUGGAUAACCUACCUAUAAGACUGGGAUAACUUCGGGAAACCGGAGCUAAUACCGGAUAACAUGUUGAACCGCAUGGUUCAACAGUGAAAGACGGUCUUGCUGUCACUUAUAGAUGGAUCCGCGUCGCAUUAGCUAGUUGGUAAGGUAACGGCUUACCAAGGCAACGAUGCGUAGCCGACCUGAGAGGGUGAUCGGCCACACUGGAACUGAGACACGGUCCAGACUCCUACGGGAGGCAGCAGUAGGGAAUCUUCCGCAAUGGGCGAAAGCCUGACGGAGCAACGCCGCGUGAGUGAAGAGGGUCUUCGGAUCGUAAAACUCUGUUAUUAGGGAAGAACAAAUGUGUAAGUAACUAUGCACGUCUUGACGGUACCUAAUCAGAAAGCCACGGCUAACUACGUGCCAGCAGCCGCGGUAAUACGUAGGUGGCAAGCGUUAUCCGGAAUUAUUGGGCGUAAAGCGCGCGUAGGCGGUUUUUUAAGUCUGAUGUGAAAGCCCACGGCUCAACCGUGGAGGGUCAUUGGAAACUGGAAAACUUGAGUGCAGAAGAGGAAAGUGGAAUUCCAUGUGUAGCGGUGAAAUGCGCAGAGAUAUGGAGGAACACCAGUGGCGAAGGCGACUUUCUGGUCUGUAACUGACGCUGAUGUGCGAAAGCGUGGGGAUCAAACAGGAUUAGAUACCCUGGUAGUCCACGCCGUAAACGAUGAGUGCUAAGUGUUAGGGGGUUUCCGCCCCUUAGUGCUGCAGCUAACGCAUUAAGCACUCCGCCUGGGGAGUACGACCGCAAGGUUGAAACUCAAAGGAAUUGACGGGGACCCGCACAAGCGGUGGAGCAUGUGGUUUAAUUCGAAGCAACGCGAAGAACCUUACCAAAUCUUGACAUCCUCUGACCCCUCUAGAGAUAGAGUUUUCCCCUUCGGGGGACAGAGUGACAGGUGGUGCAUGGUUGUCGUCAGCUCGUGUCGUGAGAUGUUGGGUUAAGUCCCGCAACGAGCGCAACCCUUAAGCUUAGUUGCCAUCAUUAAGUUGGGCACUCUAAGUUGACUGCCGGUGACAAACCGGAGGAAGGUGGGGAUGACGUCAAAUCAUCAUGCCCCUUAUGAUUUGGGCUACAUACGUGCUACAAUGGACAAUACAAAGGGUAGCGAAACCGCGAGGUCAAGCAAAUCCCAUAAAGUUGUUCUCAGUUCGGAUUGUAGUCUGCAACUCGACUACAUGAAGCUGGAAUCGCUAGUAAUCGUAGAUCAGCAUGCUACGGUGAAUACGUUCCCGGGUCU
RNAcentral lists this ribosomal RNA (1372 nucleotides) under uncultured bacterium. RNAcentral describes it as "bacterial SSU rRNA". It matches the Rfam family "Bacterial small subunit ribosomal RNA", at positions 28 to 1381 of the family's 1533-position model. The record is from RNAcentral.